RNAcentral lists this ribosomal RNA (421 nucleotides) under uncultured bacterium. Its description in RNAcentral is "bacterial SSU rRNA". It matches the Rfam family "Bacterial small subunit ribosomal RNA", at positions 358 to 772 of the family's 1533-position model. The record is from RNAcentral.
GGAAUUGUUCGCAAUGGGCGCAAGCCUGACGACGCAACGCCGCGUGGAGGAUGAAGGUCUUCGGAUUGUAAACUCCUGUUGCCCGGGACGAAUGGCUCCAACCUAAUACGUUGGAGUGUUACGGUCGCGGGUGAGGAAGCCCCGGCUAACUCUGUGCCAGCAGCCGCGGUAAUACAGAGGGUGCGAGCGUUAAUCGGAAUUACUGGGCGUAAAGCGCACGUAGGCGGCUCUGCAAGUCGGGUGUGAAAUCCCCGGGCUCAACCUGGGAACUGCAUUCGAUACUGCAUUGCUGGAGUAUGGGAGAGGGAAGUGGAAUUUCCGGUGUAGCGGUGAAAUGCGUAGAUAUCGGAAGGAACACCAGUGGCGAAAGCGACUUCCUGGACCAAUACUGACGCUCAGGUGCGAAAGCGUGGGGAGCAAA